GAAACACCCCUAUGGAGCAGACUUCCUUCAGUGGGGCUUUGGUGCUCACUGAGUCUGCCCCUUGAGUGUGUUGCU
RNAcentral lists this microRNA precursor (75 nucleotides) under Myotis davidii. RNAcentral describes it as "mir-9229 microRNA precursor family". It matches the Rfam family "mir-9229 microRNA precursor family". Lineage: Eukaryota; Metazoa; Chordata; Mammalia; Chiroptera; Vespertilionidae. The record is from Rfam by way of RNAcentral.